UGCAAGAGAGAUUAAGGGACCAGAUUGAAGAUGAUUGAAGACGAAAAUAAUCGGCGAGUUGAUAUGGAGCCAGUUCAUUGCUAUGUCAGUUUCUUUUGCUUAUUGGCUAAUACGUGUUAGAUAUGUCUGUAAAAGAAUAUAUUGUCAAGCAGAAAGAGCAUAUCGGUUCUUUACUGAGGAGUUCUUUUUCAAGGAGAAUGUCUGCUGAUCCGUCCUUAAAAACCAUCGAGUUGUUUAAAGUAGCGGAAAAGGGAUUAAUCUGGGGUUAAUUAUAGGUUUAAUAAUCAUAAUGGGCAUGAAAAGACAGUGUCAAGUAAUAAGGAUGACACAAUUUGCUGAGCAUGAACACCAACUUCUUUUGAGAUGAAUGCCAAGUGAACAAACAUAUAAUGAGCUGCAAGAGUUCAAGAUGGUGCUGUAGAUUACUCUGCAUCAUGAUCCUGUUUUGUUAAGCUCUAAGAUGCAGCAGUAUGCACAUUUAAACAGGAGACUAUGAAUCAGGCAGUCAAUCUAUUCAU
This 518-nucleotide long non-coding RNA is filed under the name Helianthus annuus (common sunflower). Lineage: Eukaryota; Viridiplantae; Streptophyta; Magnoliopsida; Asterales; Asteraceae. The record is from RNAcentral.